RNAcentral lists this ribosomal RNA (759 nucleotides) under Photorhabdus kayaii. Its description in RNAcentral is "bacterial SSU rRNA". It matches the Rfam family "Bacterial small subunit ribosomal RNA", at positions 18 to 769 of the family's 1533-position model. Lineage: Bacteria; Pseudomonadati; Pseudomonadota; Gammaproteobacteria; Enterobacterales; Morganellaceae. The record is from RNAcentral.
CCUGGCUCAGAUUGAACGCUGGCGGCAGGCCUAACACAUGCAAGUCGAGCGGUAACAGGAAAGCGCUUGCGCUUUUGCUGACGAGCGCGGACGGGUGAGUAAUGUCUGGGGAUCUCCCCGAGGGCGGGGGAUAACCACUGGAAACGGUGGCUAAUACCGCAUAAUGUCGCGAGACCAAAGUGGGGGACCUGAAGGCCUCACGCCGUCGGAUGAACCCAGAUGGGAUUAGCUAGUAGGUAGGGUAAAGGCCUACCUAGGCGACGAUCCCUAGCUGGUCUGAGAGGAUGACCAGCCACACUGGGACUGAGACACGGCCCAGACUCCUACGGGAGGCAGCAGUGGGGAAUAUUGCACAAUGGGCGCAAGCCUGAUGCAGCCAUGCCGCGUGUAUGAAGAAGGCCUUCGGGUUGUAAAGUACUUUCAGCGGGGAGGAAGGGUUCAGCUUGAACAGAGCUGAAUUUUGACGUUACCCGCAGAAGAAGCACCGGCUAACUCCGUGCCAGCAGCCGCGGUAAUACGGAGGUGCAAGCGUUAAUCGGAAUGACUGGGCGUAAAGCGCACGCAGCGGUCAAUUAAGUUAGAUGUGAAAUCCCCGGGCUCAACCUGGGAAUGGCAUCUAAGACUGGUUGGCUGGAGUCUCGUAGAGGGGGGUAGAAUUCCAUGUGUAGCGGUGAAAUGCGUAGAGAUGUGGAGGAAUACCGGUGGCGAAGGCGGCCCCCUGGACGAAGACUGACGCUCAGGUGCGAAAGCGUGGGGAGC